AGUGAACGCUGGCGGUAGGCCUAACACAUGCAAGUCGAACGGCAGCACAGUAAGAGCUUGCUCUUACGGGUGGCGAGUGGCGGACGGGUGAGGAAUACAUCGGAAUCUACUUUUUCGUGGGGGAUAACGUAGGGAAACUUACGCUAAUACCGCAUACGACCUACGGGUGAAAGCAGGGGAUCUUCGGACCUUGCGCGAUUGAAUGAGCCGAUGUCGGAUUAGCUAGUUGGCGGGGUAAAGGCCCACCAAGGCGACGAUCCGUAGCUGGUCUGAGAGGAUGAUCCGCCACCCUGGAACUGAGACACGGUCCAGACUCCUACGGGAGGCAGCAGUGGGGAAUAUUGGACAAUGGGCGCAAGCCUGAUCCAGCCAUACCGCGUGGGUGAAGAAGGCCUUCGGGUUGUAAAGCCCUUUUGUUGGUAAAGAAAAGCAGCAGGUUAAUACCCCGCUGUUCUGACGGUACCCAAAGAAUAAGCACCGGCUAACUUCGUG
RNAcentral lists this ribosomal RNA (492 nucleotides) under uncultured bacterium. RNAcentral's name for it is "partial 16S ribosomal RNA". It matches the Rfam family "Bacterial small subunit ribosomal RNA", at positions 29 to 507 of the family's 1533-position model. The record is from RNAcentral.